GCCGGUGUAGCUCAACGGUAGAGCACCUGUUUUGUAAACAGGCGGUUGCGGGUUCAAAUCCAGUCACCGGCUCCA
Molecule: transfer RNA, 75 nt
Filed under: Candidatus Didemnitutus sp.
Lineage: Bacteria; Pseudomonadati; Verrucomicrobiota; Opitutia; Opitutales; Opitutaceae
Description: tRNA-Thr
Rfam family: tRNA
About the family: Transfer RNA (tRNA) molecules are approximately 80 nucleotides in length.
Source: RNAcentral